UUUGCUAUAGUUUAAUUAGAUUAAGUUGUUAAAACACAUACUCUUGGUGUAUGAGAUAUAAUGAAAGUUGUUUUUAGUGAAA
RNAcentral lists this transfer RNA (82 nucleotides) under Rhodosoma turcicum. RNAcentral describes it as "transfer RNA-Gln". The record is from RNAcentral. Lineage: Eukaryota; Metazoa; Chordata; Ascidiacea; Phlebobranchia; Corellidae.